UCAUUGACGUUACGUCAAGCAUUCCGUCAUUUUACUUCGCGACACCAUUGCUAUUGGACGAAUUAGGGAUCUGGUCUAACUUACCUUGUGGAAUUGCGGACGAAGCUGACAAGUGUUCUGAGUGACCGAGGGGACGCGGCUGUAGUCGAUUAGCAGGUGGCAAUUCGUAUGUCUUUUUUUGCCCAAAUGCAGUGCUUUUUGUUUCACCGACUGUUCGAGGACCCAUAGCGUGAAAUGUUGGUGUUUAACCGUGUAAUGUUCAAAAAAUUUAUGUUAGAAAAAUAAGCGCAGAAAAUGAAAUAAAACUCCCAAUUUAACUUUA
Topomyia yanbarensis is the source of this 322-nucleotide long non-coding RNA. RefSeq lists it as uncharacterized. The transcript has 2 exons. The record is from RefSeq and is a predicted model, not a curated record. Lineage: Eukaryota; Metazoa; Arthropoda; Insecta; Diptera; Culicidae.